CGAGGCCCUCAGAGCCGGUGGCUUUGCACAGGGCCCUAAGCGCAGACCUCGGUGCGUGGGACUGGUGUGGUGGGUUGCAUCACUUGCUGUGCGGGACUGUGAUCCGCUGCAAUCCGCUGCAGUUCGGAGCUAUGGCGCUCGCCGUUCGAGUUGUGUAUUGUGGAGCUUGAGGCUACAAGCCCAAGUAUCUCCAGCUCAAGGAGCAGCUAGAAGAUGAAUUCCCCGGAUGUCUGGACAUUGUGAGUCUUGGAACUGGGGCCAGAGAGUCAUGUGGGUCCCUUGUCUGUCCCUGGGUCCGGGUGGCAGUGG
Nannospalax galili (Upper Galilee mountains blind mole rat) is the source of this 309-nucleotide long non-coding RNA. RefSeq lists it as uncharacterized. The transcript is spliced from 3 exons. NCBI's taxonomy places the organism in Eukaryota, Metazoa, Chordata, Mammalia, Rodentia, Spalacidae. The record is from RefSeq and is a predicted model, not a curated record.